Molecule: ribosomal RNA, 468 nt
Filed under: uncultured bacterium
Lineage: Bacteria
Description: bacterial SSU rRNA
Rfam family: Bacterial small subunit ribosomal RNA
Source: RNAcentral
GCUCCAGACUCCUACGGGAGGCAGCAGUGAGGAAUAUUGGUCAAUGGCCGUAAGGCUGAACCAGCCAAGUAGCGUGAGGGAAGACUGCCCUAUGGGUUGUAAACCUCUUUUAUGCGGGGAUAAAGGUGUCCACGUGUGGAUGUUUGCAGGUACCGCAUGACUAAGGACCGGCUAAUUCCGUGCCAGCAGCCGCGGUAAUACGGAAGGUCCGGGCGUUAUCCGGAUUUAUUGGGUUUAAAGGGAGCGUAGGCGGGUCUUGAAGAGUGCCGUGAAAUGUUGUGGCUCAACCAAGGGAGUGCGGCGGGAACUGGAGACCUUGAGGGCGGGGAAGGCAGGCGGAAUUCCUGGGGUAGCGGUGAAAUGCUUAGAUAUCAGGAAGAACCCCGAUUGCGAAGGCAGCCUGCCGCAGCGUUACUGACGCUGAAGCUCGAAAGCGCGGGUAUCGAACAGGAUUAGAUACCCGUGUAA